RNAcentral lists this ribosomal RNA (133 nucleotides) under Asarum caulescens. Its description in RNAcentral is "5.8S rRNA". The record is from RNAcentral. RNAcentral also lists the same sequence under 7 other names. Lineage: Eukaryota; Viridiplantae; Streptophyta; Magnoliopsida; Piperales; Asaraceae.
UAAAGGUCUCGGGCGCAACUUGCGUUCAAAGACUCGAUGGUUCACGGGAUUCUGCAAUUCACACCAAGUAUCGCAUUUCGCUACGUUCUUCAUCGAUGCAAGAGCCAAGAUAUCCGUUGCCGAGAGUCGUGAU